This 1408-nucleotide unclassified non-coding RNA is filed under the name Hevea brasiliensis (rubber tree). The record is from RNAcentral. Lineage: Eukaryota; Viridiplantae; Streptophyta; Magnoliopsida; Malpighiales; Euphorbiaceae.
GAUGUUGACCAUGAUAAAGAGAGAGCACAAGCACAAGGUCUUGAACCAAAUGGAUUUAAUUUUGAUGGAGCUGAUGCUACUGGCAUUGAUUAUGCACUAAAUAGGGCAAUUUCUGCUCGGUAUGAGGGUCGAGAGUGGUUUAACUCGUUAUGUAAAACUGUGAUGGAGCAAGACUGGUCUUGGAAUAAGCCUGCUCUUGAUUACAUGGAGCUUUACCAUGCUGCACGCAAGUGAAAAGAACAGGUCCUGGGAGGGUGAUAUGCAGCUCAAUUCCACACACCAUAUUCUGUACAGGUUCAGCGCAUUGAUUACUUGCACAUAAAUAGUCCACUCAAAAUAAAGCAAGGUAAUCUGAUGAUGCCAGUUUUAAAGCUUGAAAUGGCUCAUCCAUAUUUGUGUUUUAGUGCAGAAAAUGUACAUCACAGAAAAUUUUGAAUUGGUUACUGUACGAGGUUGAUGUGAUUUUUAUACCGGUCCCAGUUGUAAAUAAGUGUGAAUUGGUUAGUCACACUAGCAUUGGACAAAUGGGAUAGUUUUUCAAGGCUGAAAUGAGGGAUUGGUACCUGUUUAGCAAUAAUGCAGCUGUCCAAUCAAUCUUAUUGGUUGUGGCUUGCUAAAUGAGGGAUUGCUUGCCCUUUAACAAAUGGGCAACUGGGUUCAAACUCAUAGCAUGAGACGACUCUUCAUUAUAAGGUAAUUGGCAAAUCAGCUAGUAGCAGAAAGGCCUUUGUACUUAUUUUCACUUGAAAAUGCCUUGUAAUAUGUAUCACGUGGCAAAGUAGAUGGUGGAGUUCAUGCUUCCACUUGCAAUUAGUUUUGUAAUUGUGGAUGACAUGGACAAAUAGUGGUGACUUUGUACUGCAAAAUGUCCCUGAUUGGCAACCACGUCUUGCCUUAUCAGCCACCAAAGUUGCCUUGCUCAUCUCUUGUUGGCCUUGAAGUGACCAAGACUUUUCUGGAAAUGAUAGUUUUGGUGACCAAUUUCUGCGUGGUAAUUGACAAGGGACAAGAUUUUGAGAUGCAAAUUUGGUGGUGAUUUCUUUUCUCUGGCAUUUUUAGACCACCCCACUAAUCACCCAACAUGGGAAACAAGAAAUGAAAAAGGAGUUAAAGGUGUGCUUUCCUUAUCAAAAAUUAAAAUCAAGUGGAUCAUCCCUUCUUGGAUGGUAGAAAUUGUUUCUCCUAUCUAGUGAUUAAAAUGGGUGGUUUUGAUAAGUUGAUUUUCAUUUUGUCCAUUGAUGUCUUAGCAGGAUUUCCAUAUAAAUAGCCAAUGCUAAUGAAUUCUAUAAUGCAAAAACUGUUAUGCCCUUGUAUGUGACUUCAAAUUCCAAAACCAUUAAGACAAACUAAUCAAAAACUUCCAAGUGUCUUUUAGCAAUUAAAUAGCUAACCAUUAUAAAUCAUAGGU